This 158-nucleotide small nuclear RNA is filed under the name Saimiriine gammaherpesvirus 2 (Herpesvirus saimiri). RNAcentral's name for it is "HSUR1 small nuclear RNA". It matches the Rfam family "Herpesvirus saimiri U RNA1/RNA2". Lineage: Duplodnaviria; Heunggongvirae; Peploviricota; Herviviricetes; Herpesvirales; Orthoherpesviridae. The record is from RNAcentral.
ACACUACAUAUUUAUUAACAAUGGUUUACAAGAACUUAAAAAAACUGUGAAAAUUCAACCCAACCGAGACACACCAUAGGCAACGCAGUAACUUGCUGAACCAUUCUGUGAACUAAUUUUUUGAGGCACUGGGUGUAAAUAUGAAUUAACCAGUGCCA